GACGAGGGAUCCUAGCGUUGCUCGGAAUCAUUGGGCGUAAAGCGGGUGUAGGUGGCUUGACAAGUCAGGUGUGAAAGCCCAGGGCUCAACCCUGGAAGUGCAUUUGAAACUGUCGAGCUUGAGUGCUAGAGAGGUUAUUAGAAUACCUGGUGUAGUGGUGAAAUACGUAGAUAUCAGGUGGAACACCGGAGGCGAAGGCGGAUAACUGGCUAGACACUGACACUGAGACCCGAAAGUGCGGGGAUCAAACAGG
Molecule: ribosomal RNA, 253 nt
Filed under: uncultured bacterium
Lineage: Bacteria
Description: partial 16S ribosomal RNA
Rfam family: Bacterial small subunit ribosomal RNA
Source: RNAcentral